GAUGAACGCUGGCGGCGUGCCUAAUACAUGCAAGUCGAGCGAACAGAUGAGGAGCUUGCUCCUCUGACGUUAGCGGCGGACGGGUGAGUAACACGUGGAUAACCUACCUAUAAGACUGGGAUAACUUCGGGAAACCGGAGCUAAUACCGGAUAAUAUAUUGAACCGCAUGGUUCAAUAGUGAAAGACGGUUUUGCUGUCACUUAUAGAUGGAUCCGCGCCGCAUUAGCCAGUUGGUAAGGUAACGGCUUACCAAGGCGACGAUGCGUAGCCGACCUGAGAGGGUGAUCGGCCACACUGGAACUGAGACACGGUCCAGACUCCUACGGGAGGCAGCAGUAGGGAAUCUUCCGCAAUGGGCGAAAGCCUGACGGAGCAACGCCGCGUGAGUGAUGAAGGUCUUCGGAUCGUAAAACUCUGUUAUUAGGGAAGAACAAAUGUGUAAGUAACUAUGCACGUCUUGACGGUACCUAAUCAGAAAGCCACGGCUAACUACGUG
Molecule: ribosomal RNA, 497 nt
Filed under: uncultured bacterium
Lineage: Bacteria
Description: partial 16S ribosomal RNA
Rfam family: Bacterial small subunit ribosomal RNA
Source: RNAcentral